This 497-nucleotide ribosomal RNA is filed under the name uncultured bacterium. RNAcentral describes it as "partial 16S ribosomal RNA". It matches the Rfam family "Bacterial small subunit ribosomal RNA", at positions 28 to 507 of the family's 1533-position model. The record is from RNAcentral.
GAUGAACGCUGGCGGCGUGCCUAAUACAUGCAAGUCGAGCGAACGGACGAGGAGCUUGCUUCUCUGACGUUAGCGGCGGACGGGUGAGUAACACGUGGAUAACCUACCUAUAAGACUGGGAUAACUUCGGGACACCGGAGCUAAUACCGGAUAAUAUUUUGAACCGCAUGGUUCAAUAGUGAAAGACGGUCUUGCUGUCACUUAUAGAUGGAUCCGCGCUGCAUUAGCUAGUUGGUAAGGUAACGGCUUACCAAGGCAACGAUGCAUAGCCGACCUGAGAGGGUGAUCGGCCACACGGGAACUGAGACACGGACCAGACUCCUACGGGAGGCAGCAGUAGGGAAUCUUACGCAAUGGGCGAAAGCCUGACGGAGCAACGCCGCGUGAGUGAUGAAGGUCUUCGGAUCGUAAAACUCUGUUAUUAGGGAAGAACAUAUGUGUAAGUAACUGUGCACAUCGUGACGGUACCUAAUCAGAAAGCCACGGCUAACUACGUG